Molecule: long non-coding RNA, 770 nt
Organism: Anguilla anguilla (European eel)
Lineage: Eukaryota; Metazoa; Chordata; Actinopteri; Anguilliformes; Anguillidae
Exons: 2
Source: RefSeq, a predicted model, not a curated record
AUCACCUCCCUGGUUAACUCCUCCCUGACAUCCGGCUGCUUCCCGUCAACCUUCAAGAAGGCCCUCAUCUCCCCCCUCCUGAAAAAGACUACACUAGACCCCUCCAUCAUUGGGAACUACAGACCGAAUGAGCUCCUCGAUCCCCAUCAGUCUGGAUUCAGACCAGGCCACUCGACAGAGACCGCACUCCUCUCUGUCAACGAAGCUCUCCACGCAGCCCGAGCAGCCUCCCUCUCCUCCGUCUUAUUACUUCUGGACCUAUCGGCAGCCUUCGACACAGUCGACCACCCCACCCUCCUGUCCUCCCUAUCUGCAAUGGGGAUCUGUGGCACAGUCCUCAAUUGGAUUGAGUCUUACCUCUCAGAUCGCUCCUUCCAGGUAGCCUGGGCUGGUAAAGUAUCUGCGCCACACCCCCUCACCACCGGAGUCCCACAGGGCUCGGUCCUUGGUCCUCUCCUCUUCUCUCUCUACACCCAGUCCCUUGGCCCUGUCAUCACAGCUCAUGGUAUGUCUUACCAUUGCUAUGCUGAUGACACACAACUGUUUCUCUCCUUCCCACCCUCUGACACACAGGUCUCAGCCCGCAUCACUGCCUGCCUGAGUGAUAUUCAGAGCUGGAUGGUCCGCCACCAUCUCAAGCUCAAUCCAGGUAAGACAGAGCUCAUUUAUAUUCCGGCUCUUAACUCCCCUCUCUCUGAUCUCUCUAUCUCCCUAGGUAAUACCAUCCUCACACCAUCACCCUCAACUAGAAACCUUGGCGUGGUGAUGGA